CAGUGACGCGCCACCAUGCCCGGCUAAUUUUUGUAUUUUUAGCAGAGACGGGGUUUCACCAUCUUGCCCAGGCUGCUCUUUAACUCCUGACCUCGUGAUCCACCCACCUCGGGCUCCCAAGGUGCUGGGAUUACAGGCGUGAGCCACCGCGCCCGGCCAAAACAAACACUUUUACGACAAUUGAAAAAUAGAAGUUUCCAAUUCAAUUUUGCAACUAAAAAAUAAUAAUAAUGUGGUGCCUUCAUGUUAAACUUUGGAAAAAGCCAGGGAAGUGGCUUGCUCUGGUGAAUAAAUUCUGUAGACCCUUAAGGCUGUUCGCAGCGUACACCAAGACUUCCGAGGCAAGUGGGGGCUCCCCCUGGCGGCUGCGCCGGGUGGCUGCUCCGGGAUUGUGCGGACCUCCGAGCUACACCGUCUCCAACCAACAGAAGCCAGCAGGAACCUGCCUUAGAUGUGGGAAUGAGACAACACAACUUCUCCCAUAGGCCUGGUGGUCAGAGAGGCUGGAUCAAGAAUCUCCACAGCCCAGCGAGAAGCCACGCGAACACACCCCUGUGUGGGUAUCCGUGACCUGGCGGCCUGCAGAACUCCUGGGCCAGAGACGUCCUCAUCCUGUUGGAAUAUCCAGGUAUCUCCACUCCGAAUAUCCUCAUCUUCCUGGAACCCCUCUUUUUCUCCUAACAUUCUCUUAAAUGAAAUUCCAUAUCUGCUACAACACAGAAAGAGAGGCGGAACAAGAAAAACUGGUGAUCCACUAAUAAGAAGGCCCUGGAGCCUCUCGAUGUUUAAUCUUCUCAAGGGAUGAGAAUGUGUCUCGUACUUCUCAGCAUCUGAAACGCAGCCUUCGCUAAUGGGUCAGUUUCACUGGACGUACUCCCAGGAUCAUAGAUGGCAGCCGGGGAAGGCAGUGAGGGUGGAAAUGUCUCACUAGGCUGAAUUGAAGUGAGGCCUACCCGUUGCCUCCUUUGCAUGUGUUUAAGUAUUAGAAGAAUCUAGUAAUUUGCCCAUAAGAGAUAAUCAAACAAGAAAACAAAGGUGUAUGUGCAAAGAUUUGAAUCUUAGCUUUAUUUGAAAUAACAGAAAAUUGGAAGUCAAUUCAUGUCCAUCAGCGUGGGGCUGGCCACCUGCCAAUUCAUGUCCAUUUCCCUGGAGGGAAAUGACCCAACCAUGGAGAGAACGAUGUUCACUGAUUGCAUUGGCGUGGCAAGAACUCCAUGGCAUGUUGCAUCAUGAAGAAAGCUGCCCCGCAAAAUGAGAUGCGAUUGACGUUGAUGUGUCUGUACUUGUGCAAAGAGAGAUUUGGGAAAGGAAGUUUACUGAAGUGUUAACAAUGGGUUACAAGUUUUGAAGUGAUUUUAAUUUCUUUUUUUUUAAGUUUCUGUUAGGCUGGGAUUUUCCCCAUAGAUAUGCAUCAUCUAUGUCAGCAAUCCCCAACCUUUUGGGCACCAGGACAGGUUUCGUGAAAGACAAUUUUUCCACGGACCAGGAGUGGGAGGGACGGUUUCAGGAUGAUUCAAGCACAUUACGUUUAUCAUUAGAUUCUCACAAGGAGCAUGCAAGCUAGAUCCCUUGCAUGCCCAGUUCACAAUAGGGUUCGUGCUCCUAUGAGAAUCUGAUGUUGCCACUGGUCUGACAGGAGGUGGAGCUCAGCUUCGCUCACUUGCCCCACCACUCACCUCCUGCUGUGCAGCCCAGUUCCUAACAGGCCACAGACCAGUAUACCAGUCUGUCACCUGGGGGUUGGGGAUCCCUGAUUUUUGUAAUUGGAAGUAAAGUUGUUCGCAUUACUUUAAAAUAAAGACAGUACCAUCGUUA
Molecule: long non-coding RNA, 1815 nt
Filed under: Homo sapiens (human)
Lineage: Eukaryota; Metazoa; Chordata; Mammalia; Primates; Hominidae
Description: HSALNT0116574
Source: RNAcentral